This 253-nucleotide ribosomal RNA is filed under the name uncultured bacterium. Its description in RNAcentral is "partial 16S ribosomal RNA". It matches the Rfam family "Bacterial small subunit ribosomal RNA", at positions 524 to 776 of the family's 1533-position model. The record is from RNAcentral.
UACGGAGGGGACUAGCGUUGCUCGGAAUCACUGGGCGUAAAGCGCACGUAGGCGGAUUUCUAAGUCAGGGGUGAAAUCCUGGAGCUCAACUCCAGAACUGCCUUUGAUACUGGGAAUCUCGAGUCCGGGAGAGGUGAGUGGAACUGCGAGUGUAGAGGUGAAAUUCGUAGAUAUUCGCAAGAACACCAGUGGCGAAGGCGGCUCACUGGCCCGGUACUGACGCUGAGGUGCGAAAGCGUGGGGAGCAAACAGG